GUGUGAGCCACGGCACCCGGCUGCCCUUUUGUGUUUUUUAAAACUGAGCUUGAUCAAUGGUAGCAAUUAAGAACAGGGAGAUGGCUUUUGGCAACUGUCCUUAGUUAAAAAGACCUCAAACUUAGUUUCCCUCUUUUUUUCUCUCUUACAAUAAUGAAAUCAUAGUAAUUUAGAAAACCAACUUAGAAUUAACACACUUUAUAUAAGAUACACAUGUAUUUACUUUUCAACCUGAACACAGCAUUUCAAUGGCCAAGCGGCUUUUUUUUUUUUUUUAGAGGGAGUCUGUCAGGCUGGAGUGCAGAGGUGCGAUCUCGGCUCACUGCAACCUCCGCCUUCCGGGUUCAAGUGAUUCCCCUGCCUCAGUCUCCCCAGUAGCUGGCAUUACAGGCACACGCCACCACGCCCGCCUACCAAGUGACUCUUUAAACAGUUGUUAGGAAUGUUGUAUUAACAUCUUAUAAUAUUGCUCCACGGAGUAUUUCUACUCGCAUCUGAAUUCAGAGUUUGGGCACCGUUCCUUGAACUACAGAGCCAUUUUCAGACAUUAUUUUCUACCUAAGUAAAACGAUGAAGGGAGAAAAUACAAAUGCCUUUGGCUCUUUCUGAUCAUUCUGGAUCCAUGCAUAAUGGUAAUACUGCUACCAUGUGCUCAAGCCUCGGCUUUUUAAAGCCUCACAACCACGAAUUACACAUUAUUCCAGGGUGAUACGGUCCUGUCUUGUUAUGAUUUUUUAAAAACCCCAAACCUCUGAAAAAUCUUCAGGUACUCCAUCACUCUCGCCUCGGACUGGCACUGGUAAAAUGCACACCCACGCGAGGGCAGGCGAUUUGUUUCAUAAUUUUAUGUCCUCAGCCUACUGGAGCUAAUUUUCUAGUACUUCA
Molecule: long non-coding RNA, 885 nt
Filed under: Homo sapiens (human)
Lineage: Eukaryota; Metazoa; Chordata; Mammalia; Primates; Hominidae
Description: HSALNT0269346
Source: RNAcentral